This 514-nucleotide ribosomal RNA is filed under the name uncultured Glomus. RNAcentral describes it as "SSU rRNA". It matches the Rfam family "Eukaryotic small subunit ribosomal RNA", at positions 547 to 1065 of the family's 1831-position model. Lineage: Eukaryota; Fungi; Glomeromycota; Glomeromycetes; Glomerales; Glomeraceae. The record is from RNAcentral.
CNNGGAGGGCAAGUCUGGUGCCAGCAGCCGCGGUAAUUCCAGCUCCAAUAGCGUAUAUUAAAGUUGUUGCAGUUAAAAAGCUCGUAGUUGAAUUUCGGGAUCAGUACGCUGGUCAUGCCUUUGGUAUGCACUGGUGUCACUGGUUUCUCCCUUCUGAAGAACCGUGAUGUCAUUAAUUUGGUGUCGCGGGGAAUCAGGACUGUUACUUUGAAAAAAUUAGAGUGUUUAAAGCAGGCUCACGCUUGAAUACAUUAGCAUGGAAUAAUGAAAUAGGACGUUUGACCCUAUUUUGUUGGUUUCUAGGAUCGACGUAAUGAUUAAUAGGGAUAGUUGGGGGCAUUAGUAUUCAAUUGUCAGAGGUGAAAUUCUUGGAUUUAUUGAAGACUAACUACUGCGAAAGCAUUUGCCAAGGAUGUUUUCAUUAAUCAAGAACGAAAGUUAGGGGAUCGAAGACGAUCAGAUACCGUCGUAGUCUUAACCAUAAACUAUGCCGACUAGGGAUCGGAUGAUGUUA